GUGAAUCAUCGAAUUUUUGAACGCAAUUUGCACUCUCUUCGGAUAGUAUGCCUGUUUGAGUGUCAGCCUAAAAAAAAUCGACAUCGUUGCUGUUUCGCUGUGGCGUUCGUCGGAAAUUGGGUUAUCUUAAAUCUUUGGUUUAAGCGACUUAAUAUUUUCUUUACGAUUCCAUUAACUUUUCCAAGAUUUAUUUCUUUAUACGUUUAAGGUAUCGAUUUUAUUAGUCGUUUUCGUCAUAUCUAACCAUGUCCAU
Molecule: unclassified non-coding RNA, 253 nt
Filed under: Glomus sp.
Lineage: Eukaryota; Fungi; Glomeromycota; Glomeromycetes; Glomerales; Glomeraceae
Description: partial contains 5.8S ribosomal RNA and internal transcribed spacer 2
Rfam family: 5.8S ribosomal RNA (bases 1-65)
Source: RNAcentral